RNAcentral lists this unclassified non-coding RNA (377 nucleotides) under plant metagenome. RNAcentral's name for it is "partial contains 5.8S ribosomal RNA, internal transcribed spacer 2, and large subunit ribosomal RNA". The stretch from base 1 to 104 matches the Rfam family "5.8S ribosomal RNA", at positions 51 to 154 of the family's 154-position model. The record is from RNAcentral.
AAAUGCGAUAAGUAAUGUGUAUUGCAGAAUUCAGUGAAUCAUCGAAUCUUUGAACGCACCUUGCGCUCCUUGGUAUUCCUUGGAGCAUGCCUGUUUGAGUAUCAUGAAAUCUUCAAAGUAAAUCUUUUGUUAACUCAAUUGGUUUCUACUUUGGUAUUGGAGGUCUUUGCAGCUUCACACCUGCUCCUCUUUGUUCAUUAGCUGGAUCUCAGUGUUAUGCUUGGUUCCACUCGGCGUGAUAAGUUAUCUAUCGCUGAGGACACUGUAAAAGGUGGCCAAGGUAAAUGCAGAUGAACCGCUUCUAAUAGUCCAUUGACUUGAACAAUACUUUUAUGAUCUGAUCUCAAAUCAGGUAGGACUACCCGCUGAACUUAAGC